RNAcentral lists this long non-coding RNA (1129 nucleotides) under Homo sapiens (human). RNAcentral's name for it is "PLPPR5 antisense RNA 1". The record is from RNAcentral. Lineage: Eukaryota; Metazoa; Chordata; Mammalia; Primates; Hominidae.
UCGGCGACGAGGGCGAGCGCCCCCGGGCUUACCACGAGCACGGGGACCCCGGCGGCCAGCGAGUAGAGGAGCACGGGGGGCACGGCGCUGCUGUCCUCCGGGCCCGGGUAGGGUUUGCGGUAGGCGCUGUCGUGGCAGAAGAAGCCCUGCACGUUCACGGUGAACGUGUCCGUAUACUCGAAGUAGUACGCCAGCAUCACCGUCCCUGCCAUGAUCACCAUCUGGAAAUAGAGCAUGCUGCUGGUAUACCGAUGGCUGCAGCCUGAGCCAGUGACUUUAAGCCUUGGACAUCAAGCAGGCAAACCAGGCAAGAUUUUGACCUUGCUGCAUUACUGCAGCUUCCUGAUGAAUUCACUCACUUCCAAUGACAGCAGAAGGAUUACUCACACUGAUAAAGGAAAUUGGCGGAAGCUACCCAGAAGGGCCACACCUCCAAAAGGUUUUUUUAAGUACAUGAAACAUUGAUGCACGUGCCCCGCCUGGCUUGGAAGUCCAGGACCAAGGUUCCAGCUGUCUGGCUGCAUCCACAUAUGGAGGAAGGCAGAAGGUCAAGCUCCCUGCAUGGGAUGAAGAGACCCCCAACUGUCUCUCUCCACCAUGUGAGGAAACCAGGAAGAAAGCCCUCGCCAGAACCUGGCCACACUGGCACCCUGCUCUUGGACUUUCCAGCCUCCAGAAUGAUGAGAAAUACAUAUUUGAUGUUUAAGCCACCCAGUCUAUGGUAUUCUUGUUAUAGCAGCCUGAACUAAGACAAUGUAAAAGCAUGAAAUAUUUUAUUUCCUUCUGGAUACAGAAUCACAACAGUAGGUCCAAGUUUGGAAUGGGAUUAAUAAUGUUUUCUGACAACCAGUGAGACUAUGGUGUAUAAGUAGAGCAUAACUGCUUCAGUGAGAAUUAUGUUAAGAAGAAAAGGCCUUAAACUAUUGAAUUUAUAGGGAACAUUCAAUUCUCUUUGCUAUAAUGCAAUUUUUGCCCAUAUCUACCUGCUCUGAUUAAUGAUAAGGCUUAUGAAAAGGACAUUUGUAAUGUCACAAAAGCUUCCAUGCAUUUUACAAAGGAUAUCAUUAAUAAUCAAGUUAAAACAACCCCAAAGGAAAAUAUCACAUUUCUUUAAAAGAUUUAGUGAUGC